This 71-nucleotide transfer RNA is filed under the name Geranium maderense. RNAcentral describes it as "tRNA-Gly". It matches the Rfam family "tRNA". Rfam says of the family: Transfer RNA (tRNA) molecules are approximately 80 nucleotides in length. Their secondary structure includes four short double-helical elements and three loops (D, anti-codon, and T loops). RNAcentral also lists the same sequence under 10 other names. Lineage: Eukaryota; Viridiplantae; Streptophyta; Magnoliopsida; Geraniales; Geraniaceae. The record is from RNAcentral.
GCGGAUAUAGUCGAAUGGUAAAACCUCUCCUUGCCAAGGAGAAGACGCGGGUUCGAUUCCCGCUAUCCGCC